This 571-nucleotide ribosomal RNA is filed under the name Candida tropicalis. RNAcentral describes it as "eukaryotic LSU rRNA". It matches the Rfam family "Eukaryotic large subunit ribosomal RNA", at positions 82 to 668 of the family's 3401-position model. Lineage: Eukaryota; Fungi; Ascomycota; Pichiomycetes; Serinales; Debaryomycetaceae. The record is from RNAcentral.
AUAAGCGGGCGAGUGAAGCGGCAAAAGCUCAAAUUUGAAAUCUGGCUCUUUCAGAGUCCGAGUUGUAAUUUGAAGAAGGUAUCUUUGGGUCUGGCUCUUGUCUAUGUUUCUUGGAACAGAACGUCACAGAGGGUGAGAAUCCCGUGCGAUGAGAUGAUCCAGGCCUAUGUAAAGUUCCUUCGAAGAGUCGAGUUGUUUGGGAAUGCAGCUCUAAGUGGGUGGUAAAUUCCAUCUAAAGCUAAAUAUUGGCGAGAGACCGAUAGCGAACAAGUACAGUGAUGGAAAGAUGAAAAGAACUUUGAAAAGAGAGUGAAAAAGUACGUGAAAUUGUUGAAAGGGAAGGGCUUGAGAUCAGACUUGGUAUUUUGUAUGUUACUUCUUCGGGGGUGGCCUCUACAGUUUAUCGGGCCAGCAUCAGUUUGGGCGGUAGGAGAAUUGCGUUGGAAUGUGGCACGGCUUCGGUUGUGUGUUAUAGCCUUCGUCGAUACUGCCAGCCUAGACUGAGGACUGCGGUUUAUACCUAGGAUGUUGGCAUAAUGAUCUUAAGUCGCCCGUCUUGAACCACGGACCA